GGACUACCCGGGUAUCUAAUCCUGUUUGCUCCCCUAGCUUUCGUCCCUCAGCGUCAGUUGUGAUCCAGCGAGCCGCUUUCGCCUCGGAUGUUCCUACGGAUAUCUACGCAUUUCACCGCUACACCCGUAAUUCCACUCGCCUCUCUCACACUCGAGCACGGCAGUUUCGUUAGCAGCCUCUGGGUUAAGCCCAGAGAUUUCACUAUCGACUUGCCGCACCGCCUACGGACCCUUUACGCCCAGUAAUUCCGAGCAACGCUGGCCCCCUACGUAUUACCGCGGCUGCUGGCAC
This 292-nucleotide ribosomal RNA is filed under the name uncultured Acidobacteriota bacterium. Its description in RNAcentral is "uncultured Acidobacteria bacterium partial 16S ribosomal RNA". The record is from RNAcentral. Lineage: Bacteria; Pseudomonadati; Acidobacteriota.